GCCCUUGUGGCGGAAUGGUAGACGCAACGGACUUAAAAUCCGUUGGUGUGAAAAACGCCGUGCCAGUUCGAGUCUGGCCAAGGGCA
Molecule: non-coding RNA, 86 nt
Organism: Candidatus Melainabacteria bacterium
Lineage: Bacteria; Bacillati; Candidatus Melainabacteria
Source: Rfam